UUUGGAACGCGAAGAACCUUACCAGGUCUUGACAUCCUCUGACAACCCUAGAGAUAGGGCUUCUCCUUCGGGAGCAGAGUGACAGGUGGUGCAUGGUUGUCGUCAGCUCGUGUCGUGAGAUGUUGGGUUAAGUCCCGCAACGAGCGCAACCCUUGAUCUUAGUUGCCAUCAUUAAGUUGGGCACUCUAAGGUGACUGCCGGUGACAAACCGGAGGAAGGUGGGGAUGACGUCAAAUCAUCAUGCCCCUUAUGACCUGGGCUACACACGUGCUACAAUGGACGGUACAAAGAGUCGCAAGACCGCGAGGUGGAGCUAAUCUCAUAAAACCGUUCUCAGUUCGGAUUGUAGGCUGCAACUCGCCUACAUGAAGCUGGAAUCGGUAGUAAUCGCGGAUCAGCAUGCCGCGGUGAAUACGUUCCCCGGGUCUUGUACACACGCACAA
Molecule: ribosomal RNA, 443 nt
Filed under: bacterium CPTAC122
Lineage: Bacteria
Description: bacterial SSU rRNA
Rfam family: Bacterial small subunit ribosomal RNA
Source: RNAcentral